Molecule: transfer RNA, 84 nt
Filed under: Solirubrobacterales bacterium
Lineage: Bacteria; Bacillati; Actinomycetota; Thermoleophilia; Solirubrobacterales
Also listed under: 2 other names
Description: tRNA-Leu
Rfam family: tRNA
About the family: Transfer RNA (tRNA) molecules are approximately 80 nucleotides in length.
Source: RNAcentral
GCGGAUGUGGCGGAACUGGCAGACGCGCAGGCUUCAGGUGCCUGUGGCCUUACGGCCGUGUAGGUUCGAUUCCUAUCAUCCGCA